Molecule: long non-coding RNA, 4772 nt
Organism: Sorghum bicolor (sorghum)
Lineage: Eukaryota; Viridiplantae; Streptophyta; Magnoliopsida; Poales; Poaceae
Exons: 5
Source: RefSeq, a predicted model, not a curated record
CGGAGACGGGAAACUUCUCGUUCUCUCCGACUCCGACACCGCCACCAGGCCGACCGCGACGGCGAAUGGCGUGCCAUGGCCGCCGUCGUCCUCCGCCACCGCCGCCUCCUCCUCCUCCUCCUCCUCCUCCUCCUCCUCCUCCUCCUCCUCCUCCUUUGUCCCCUUCCCUCCGGCGGCGGCGGCGUGGGCACCAGGCGACGGCGCAGCUUGCAGGCGGUGCGGCAACGCAGGUGAGGCCCGACGACCUCCUCCCUCUCCUCCAUCCUUCGUGCGGCCUCCUCGGUGCCUCCUCUUGCCUCGACCCCUUCACGCUUCCUGUGGCCGAAACCCUAGCUGCCCGAACCCUAGGCUUGGCGUGCUGGGGCAGCAGGAGGGCCAAGCUCGGCGGCGGGCGGCGCGAUGGUGCUCCUCUCUCUGUUUCCUCUCUCUCCUUCUCCCCUUCUCUACCCUCCACAGGCCUCCUCGAUGCCGCCGCCGUCGGGGACCGUGAGCUCCUCAGCUCAGCGAAACCCUAAGUACUAUGCCGGGCCUCGAUCUAUUUUCCUAUUUGCCCGAUGUCAAGUGCCAGCAGGCUGCAGGCUGCACGCGUCGUGCUGCAAGCAGUGGCCAUGGACUGCCAUGUCAAGUUCACCUAAUGCCUUUGGUAUAUUUGGAUCACGCAGGAUAAUAAAAGUUAUUUAGAGCUAUUUUUUAAUACGACACAAUCUACCAUGUUGCCGCCAUGUGUUAUGCUCUUGAUGCUAAAUAAACAGGUGUCUACAUAUUGGGACACAUCUACCAAGACUCAGUAUCAAUCUGGCUGCUCGACUUAUGGAUAUAGGCUGCUCCGAUGAUUGGGACACAUCUAGCAAGCCUCGGUAUCAAUCUGGCUGCUCGACUUAUGGAUAUAGGCUGCUCCGAUGGUAAGAUAUUGACUCCAUGUAGUUUCAAAGCCAUGUAUACAAAUCCAAUAUUAAUCUCUUUUGGCAUUAACGAAGGAGCUCGUGUAUUCACUAUAUUUCAUAUCCUAUUGGGUUUGCACUGUUACACAGCUAGAUUCUAAUGAUUUCAUUUCUUACCGUUGGUUUUCAUAGCAUGUGUCUGAACCUUUUUAGUUUUGAAUGUCAUCGGUUUACAGGUUUUAGUCGGUAUGGAUUAUUCUUUUGCCUAUCCAGUUUCCUUUCUUUGUGCUUUUUUGUUUGCCCAAACAUUUUACUCUUUAUAUUUAUAUUACUGCAGCCAAAGCAUGUGAAUUAUUGGGUUGAUGUGGGCUAUGUGAGUGCGUGCAUUUCCAUCUCCGCAUGUUUGGUCCAUGAAGUAUUUGCUGAUUUCUUGUUGCCUAUUGACAUGCCAUGUUUAUAUAGUAUAAUUGUGCUUGCUGUAUUGUUAGUACUAAUGGUUAUAGUUACAAAUAUUUAUUUUAGUCUAAACAUGGAUGCACCAUAUAUUAGCCAUUUCUUCUACAGAAUGAAAUUGCAGCAUAUCAUCUAUGGAUUUCUUCUUUAUUUUUAGAGGUUUUAUGUUUAAAUCUUCUGUUCUCUCUGCUCCUACAGCUAUGUUUUUCUCUUCAAACACCGACCAAUUAUUUUUGGGAGUCCCCAGCACACCUUUUUCUUAUUUAUUCAGCCACCAAAAUCAUAUGCCAGUUUUCCCUAUCUUAUUCCCAAGGCUCUUUAGACAACAAAAAGACGCAUGACUUCUUCAAUCUUAACAAUAUUUGGUUCUUUUACCAAAAUUAGGAUUAUACCAGGUUGAGUAAUGCAUUUUCCUAUUGCAUUGUACCUACCAGCACAGCUCAUGCGCUGAUCAUUUAGCAUUUCCUAUUAAAGAUAUUGUUGUUAGGCAAUUGUUAUGCUUUACCAGCAAAUCAUUUGAUUAUUACCUCUUAGCAAUUGAGCUGUUUAUGCAAGGGCUAUUUGUCAAAUUGUGUACUCCUUUCUACCAGGGUGUAACUACUGGUGCCAGUGGCAUUGAGUCUCUAUAGUGUGGCUUUGUGUGAUUGAUUCCAAAAUUUUAUGCCUCAAAAAUGAUAUCUUUUUGUUUCGUUUUUUUGCUGUUGCCAAAGAUUCUGUCACAUUUAAAUUUUGAGCAGGCCAUACAAGAGCCUUUGUUCUAUGAGACUGUAAGAUGUAGUGCAGCGUAAAUUGUUUCGUGGAAAUGCCUAUUAAGGUUAAGCACGCACUAUAUUUUUGGUGUGGGACAUCAUCUGCACAACAAAAAUGCAAUCCUAAAAAAAUUGUACGUAGUCUAUAUUUUCAAAUUUUCUUUUACAGUUUUGAUUAGAAAACUAUGAGUUUGUAUCGUUGAUUUUUUAAAUAAGUUCUUCACCCUUACGUACCUUGUUUUGGAUUUCAGAACCUGCUCAUGCAGCUAGACAUUUAUGGGCUACUUAUGGCGUCCCAGCGUGUAUCUGCUCAUGGUCUAAUGUUUUCUUCUAGAUUAAUUCCCCCUCCUAACACACGCCACUGUUUGUUACCUGAAACACAUGCCUACUAUAAUCCUAUGAUGAAAACUCAGUAUCUAUUGCUCAAGGAUACAAUCUGAUGUUCAUUUUCCUGUGAGGUACACGUACAGGGCAUGGCUUGUUCCCUAUAUGAUGAAGUUUUUAAAGAGUUAUCUAGCUAUCAGCAUGCCCUGAAGCUCUAGGUUCAUGAACAAAUCAAGGAUAUAAUCUCAUGUCCAUUUGCCUGUGAGGUACUGGGCAUAGUCUCUUACCUAUAUUAUGCAGUUUUUAAGAGUCAUCUAGGUAACAACAUGCCCUGAAGCUCUAGGUUCAUGAACAAAUGAUGAUUAAUACAUUUCUGAAGCCUUUAAGAAUCUUUGUCGACUUUUUAUAUGGUCUAAGCCUAUUUUCUGAUAAUCUCCUAUCCUACCGAGUUGCCAAUUCAUCUCGUGCAUUCCACAUUCGUUAAUUAUAUUUUUUACUUUUAUGCCUCUUAUCAUGAUAUCUGACACAAUUUGAACGACUCUUAGGGGCUAUCUUUCAUGUUUCCUAACUAAAGUCAGCUAACUGUGUGUCAUGAAUUAUUGUUGUCGUUGCUCACAACAUGUUGAUCCCAGUUGCAAAGUUAUUUUCAUGUUUUGGGGUUCUAUAGUGUGGCAACAAAUGCUACUUACAUUCUCUCUCAAAUAUUUUCAUGUUUAUUUUGUGGGCUGAUGGACAAAGGAGAAGGAUUUAGCUAAUUGAUUUAUUUUUUUUGGGUGACUCCUCCGCUUGCUUUGUCUAUAUUUUUAGACUUUUCUAUGAAUCAGAUUGGAGACCAACUGGAUGCUUUAUUUUAUCAUUUACUUGAUUGUAGCUUCUCUUAUCUCAUGAAGGCAGGUGAAGCAUAUUUAAUCCUUCAUUUUUCUAUGCCUACCAGUUGUCUUACCCAAUCUAAUAUUUGAUGCAGUCCUACCCCAUUAAAGGUAUGCUGGAGUCGUUCAUUUUACCAACCAUUGAUAUAGUGGAUGGAAAAGUGUGAAACACAAUAUUGUGUUUACAAAUUGCUUUUAUAUUAUGCAUUCACCUUUGUUAUCAGUACUCUUCUUACUCAUGUGCUUACCAGCACGUGCCUUUCAUCCUUGUCAUCAUUAUCUUGUGUAAAAAAGGAUUUAUGUUCACACUAUAUGUUUUGGUUAGUACAAUUUGACUGGUCACUAUACUUAGUACCAGGUAUAGAACUGAACAAUGUCUAACUCUGAUGUCCUAUGCACAAAGAUAGUGCCAUUGUGGUCAUGUACAGAUCUCAAGCAGACCAUAACGGGUCAACUCACCGACAAGAUGAUGAUGUCUUCUCUGAGCCUCAUCAAGGUCAGCGACCAUAUAAUUUGCAAAAAUAAGGUCAGUGACCACAGUAGUAAUUCCUUUGUGUUCCUAAUAUUUGUUGUUAGUCUUCCUAUAGCGUACUCCUUAAUAUGUACGUUAGACCCGCUUUUAGGAAAUUCACACAAAGAUGACAAACAUGAUGGCUAUGAAUUCGACAGUGCAUUGAUCCUGCUUCAACCCAUACCAUUUAUUUGUAUGUUAUGUCAUUUUCGGUUAACCAUACUAUGAAUUUGAGUGCUGCCAUUCGUUUUGUCUGCAAUCAGCUAUGUCUUACGACAUGUCUAGAAAUAUUUAUGUUAUUUAUGAUUGAAUCUAUAGAAUAUAUUUCUUUAUCAUGCUAUUUAAGUCAACCUUGUCAUCAAUUUGAAAGCACAAUUUACAUACUGUUAAAUUUUGGUGCAAAUUAAUUUCCGAUUCAAGUUGUUAAUGUGAGCUAGCAGUUUCCAAGUUAUAAAACUUCUAAUUCUGUAUCUAACUAGCGCCCAUGUUACAUAGUCUUAUCACUGUUGAAGACUCUGAUGAUCUCACUGACAAUGAUGAAACUCUCCCAUCUCACUUAACAUUAGAUUAGAGGUCCAAAAGAUAAGUAUAAUCAAUCUGUCUUCCAAGCUUUAGACCUCAUAAGGCCUCUAUGUGUACUGUAACCGUAUUUGCAACUUAUGAUGGUACAGCCGCAACAAUAACCAGGCAUAAAACUGACAGAUCGAACAACUGGGCAAAAGUUAGUGCCUGAAAGUUUACUUCAGCAGAAGGCACAAAAUAGUGUCCUUUUGCACUACGAAACAUCGUGCUCCUGAGCUUCUAAGCAAUAAAUAUUCAAAGACAGAAGCUUUUCUAGACUACAUUUGGUAGAACUUUAGAUCACUAAGUUAUGAGGCUACAAACUAUCAUGGAUGAUUGUAAUUACCAGUGUUGCCCCGCACAUCUGCUACCUAUGCCUUACAAAACCAAACACAGUCUAUCUUAUUCAGCAAUUACUUACACU